This 65-nucleotide unclassified non-coding RNA is filed under the name Mus musculus (house mouse). Lineage: Eukaryota; Metazoa; Chordata; Mammalia; Rodentia; Muridae. The record is from RNAcentral.
GUUUUCUCUCUCUCUUGCUUCUUACACUCUUGCUCCUGAAGAUGUAAGCAAUAAAGUUUUGCCGC